ACCACAAGAGCGUGGAGUAUGUGGCUUAAUUUGACUCAACGCGGAAAAGCUUAUCUGGUCCGGACACAGUGAGGAUUGACAGACAGUUAGACAGAAGUGAGGUUUUGGUAACAAUUGAGAGAGUUGAAGUUCUUUCAUGAUCUUGUGAGAGGUGGUGCAUGGCCGUUCUUAGUUCGUGUAGUGAUAUGUCUGCCUAAUCGCGUCACGAUAACCUAUUGGUCGACAACCCAAUUAUCACAACUGCAGCAUAACUCCCCUUGGGUGGGCGAGGCUCUGUGUAGGAUAGACCUCUGAACAGUACGCAACGAACGCGAUCGUAAUCCCUUGUUGAGUGGCCAUCCUGUAAGCUGCUGGAUUAGGAACCCAGUGGUAUUAUCUCAGCCACAGAUUUUCUGGUUGUAGUGGGCCAGUUUUGAAACUCGGGGAACAUCUGUGACUUUCUUUCUUAACGCAGAGGAAGGUUAU
This 465-nucleotide ribosomal RNA is filed under the name Globigerina bulloides. RNAcentral's name for it is "bacterial SSU rRNA". It matches the Rfam family "Eukaryotic small subunit ribosomal RNA", at positions 1166 to 1448 of the family's 1831-position model. Lineage: Eukaryota; Foraminifera; Rotaliida; Globigerinidae. The record is from RNAcentral.